This is a non-coding RNA of Arachis ipaensis, 723 nucleotides long. The record is from RefSeq and is a predicted model, not a curated record. NCBI's taxonomy places the organism in Eukaryota, Viridiplantae, Streptophyta, Magnoliopsida, Fabales, Fabaceae.
CCGUCCUAUGGAGCCGUGUCGUUGCCGCUCAGUCCACUGCCAGAGACAGACGCGAAGAGGGAGCGGGAGUCUCAAAGCCAGCUGUGUCCUCACCGCCGCAAAGGAAAUCGUCGCCGUUCCCUGAAGCCCGUGUCGCCGUCGAGUCCAGAUGAAAGGAGAGACCGGGCCUGAGCCUCGACGAGCUGGGAAGAACCAGCGCCACAGCUGCGCCGUCGUCGUGGACACCACCGCCUCCGUUGGAACGGCCAUAGCCACUGCCACCAUCUGAGCUCGCCGUUGCUGGUGAUGGUUAGUUGAACCGUUGUCAGGAGAGGGUUCAGAUCCGCCGCUGCCGGAGCUUCUAGCCGAGCCUCAACCGCCGGGAACGCUGCUGCCGCCACCGAGCUCCACUGCCGAUCGCCGCUGCUGCUUGGGGCUGACUGCCGGGUUGCCGCCGAACCGGUUCGGAGACCGCCGCUGUUUCGGUUCAACCGUUCUUUCUUCGGUUCGAGUUGUUGAGACCGUUGCGAAAGUGGCUUGGAACCGAGGUUUUGGCUGUCGGGAUUUUGAUUGUUGACCUCGGGUCAAGGCGGAAAGGAUUAUGUGACGCGUUUGGGCUAUGGAAUUGCGUUUUGAGGUAGGGGCGCUUUCCGAAAACUAUAGUUUAUUAUUGGAAUUAUUACAUAUGGGUACUGAUGUGAGAUAUUGUGUAUUUGGUGAUUGUACCUUCCUUAUGUAUUAUUU